This 661-nucleotide ribosomal RNA is filed under the name uncultured Pseudomonadota bacterium. Its description in RNAcentral is "bacterial SSU rRNA". It matches the Rfam family "Bacterial small subunit ribosomal RNA", at positions 67 to 717 of the family's 1533-position model. Lineage: Bacteria; Pseudomonadati; Pseudomonadota. The record is from RNAcentral.
CGGUAACAGGAAACAGCUUGCUGUUUCGCUGACGAGUGGCGGACGGGUGAGUAAUGUCUGGGAAACUGCCUGAUGGAGGGGGAUAACUACUGGAAACGGUAGCUAAUACCGCAUAACGUCGCAAGACCAAAGAGGGGGACCUUCGGGCCUCUUGCCAUCGGAUGUGCCCAGAUGGGAUUAGCUAGUAGGUGGGGUAACGGCUCACCUAGGCGACGAUCCCUAGCUGGUCUGAGAGGAUGACCAGCCACACUGGAACUGAGACACGGUCCAGACUCCUACGGGAGGCAGCAGUGGGGAAUAUUGCACAAUGGGCGCAAGCCUGAUGCAGCCAUGCCGCGUGUAUGAAGAAGGCCUUCGGGUUGUAAAGUACUUUCAGCGGGGAUGAAGGGAGUAAAGUUAAUACCUUUGCUCAUUGACGUUACCCGCAGAAGAAGCACCGGCUAACUCCGUGCCAGCAGCCGCGGUAAUACGGAGGGUGCAAGCGUUAAUCGGAAUUACUGGGCGUAAAGCGCACGCAGGCGGUUUGUUAAGUCAGAUGUGAAAUCCCCGGGCUCAACCUGGGAACUGCAUCUGAUACUGGCAAGCUUGAGUCUCGUAGAGGGGGGUAGAAUUCCAGGUGUAGCGGUGAAAUGCGUAGAGAUCUGGAGGAAUACCGGUGGCG